AUGACUGUCUCAAAUAAAAACCAGUCCAGACACCAACCCAGUCCAGAUACCAACCCAGUUCAGAUACCAACCCAGUCCAGACACCAACCCAGUCCAGAUACCAACCCAGUCCAGAUACCAACCCAGUCCAGAUACCAACCCAGUCCAGACACCAACCCAGUCCAGAUACCAACCCAGUCCAGACACCAACCCAGUCCAGACACCAACCCAGUCCAGAUACCAACCCAGUCCAGACACCAACCCAGUCCAGACACCAACCCAGUCCAGAUACCAAUCCAGUCCAGAUACCAACCCAGUCCAGACACCAACCCAGUCCAGACACCAACCCAGUCCAGACACCAACCCAGUCCAGACACUAACCCAGUCCAGACACCAACCCAGUCCAGACACCAACCCAGUCCAGACACCAACCCAGUCCAGACACCAACCCAGUCCAGAUACCAACCCAGUCCAGACACCAACCCAGUCCAGACACCAACCCAGUCCAGAUACCAACACCAACCCAGUCCAGACAUCAACCCAGUCCAGACACCAACCCAGUCCAGACACCAACCAAGCCCAGACAUCAACCCAGUCCAGACAUCAACCCAGUCCAGACACCAACACCAACCCAGUCCUGACACCAACACCAACCCAGACCAGACACCAACCCAGUCCAGACACCAACACCAACCCAGUCCAGACAUCAACCCAGUCCAGACAUCAACCCAGUCCAGACAUCAACACCAACCCAGUCCAGACAUCAACCCAGUCCAGACACCAACCCAGUCCAGACACCAACCCAGUCCAGACAUCAACCCAGUCCAGACAUCAACACCAACCCAGUCCAGACAUCAACCCAGUCCAGACACCAACCCAGUCCAGACACCAACCCAGUCCAGACACCAACACCUACCCAGUCCAGACACCAACACCAACCCAGUCCAGACAUCAACCCAGUCCAGACACCAACACCAACCCAGUCCAGACACCAACCCAGUCCAGAUACCAACCCAGUCCAGAUACCAACCCAGUCCAAACACCAACACCAACCCAGUCCACAUACCAACCCAGUCCAGACACCAACCCAGUCCAGUCACCAACCCAGUCCAGAUUCCAACCCAGUCCAGACAUCAACCCAGUCCAGACAUCAACCCAGUCCAGACACCAACCCAGUCCAGAUACCAACCCAGUCCAGUCACCAACCCAGUCCAGAUUCCAACCCAGUCCAGACAUCAACUAAGUCCAGACAUCAACCCAGUCCAGACACCAACCCAGUCCAGAUACCAACCCAGUCCAGACAUCAACCCAGUCCAGACCCUAUAG
This 1305-nucleotide long non-coding RNA is filed under the name Oncorhynchus mykiss (rainbow trout). Its description in RNAcentral is "lncRNA (ENSOMYG00000049171.1)". Lineage: Eukaryota; Metazoa; Chordata; Actinopteri; Salmoniformes; Salmonidae. The record is from RNAcentral.